This 76-nucleotide transfer RNA is filed under the name Aquihabitans sp. RNAcentral describes it as "tRNA-Asn". It matches the Rfam family "tRNA". Rfam says of the family: Transfer RNA (tRNA) molecules are approximately 80 nucleotides in length. Their secondary structure includes four short double-helical elements and three loops (D, anti-codon, and T loops). RNAcentral also lists the same sequence under 1 other name. Lineage: Bacteria; Bacillati; Actinomycetota; Acidimicrobiia; Acidimicrobiales; Iamiaceae. The record is from RNAcentral.
UCGGGGGUAGCUCAGCUGGCAGAGCAAUUGACUGUUAAUCAAUGGGUCGUGGGUUCGAGCCCCACCCCCCGAGCCA